UACGGGGGGGGCGAGCGUUGUUCGGAAUUAUUGGGCGUAAAGGGCGCGUAGGCGGUGCGGUAAGUCUGAUGUGAAACCUCCAGGCUCAACUUGGAGCUUGCAUUAGAAACUGCCGUGCUUGAGCACUGUAGAGGCAGGCGGAAUUCCGGGUGUAGCGGUGGAAUGCGUAGAGAUCCGGAAGAACACCGGUGGCGAAGGCGGCCUGCUGGGCAGUAGCUGACACUGAGGCGCGACAGCGUGGGGAGCAAACAGG
Molecule: ribosomal RNA, 253 nt
Filed under: uncultured prokaryote
Description: partial 16S ribosomal RNA
Rfam family: Bacterial small subunit ribosomal RNA
Source: RNAcentral